UGCCAGACUCCUACGGGAGGCAGCAGUGAGGAAUAUUGGUCAAUGGGCUUACGCCUGAACCAGCCAAGUCGCGUGAGGGAAGACUGCCCUAUGGGUUGUAAACCUCUUUUGUCAGGGAGCAACGCCGGCUACGCGUAGCCGGACUGAGAGUACCUGAAGAAAAAGCAUCGGCUAACUCCGUGCCAGCAGCCGCGGUAAUACGGAGGAUGCGAGCGUUAUCCGGAUUUAUUGGGUUUAAAGGGUGCGCAGGGGGAAGAUCAAGGCAGUGGUAAAAUUGGGGGGCUCAACCUCUUCGAGCCGUUGAAACUGGUUUUCUUGAGUGAGUGAGAAGUAUGCGGAAUGCGUGGUGUAGCGGUGAAAUGCAUAGAUAUCGCGCAGAACUCCGAUUGCGAAGGCAGCUUACCAGUCUGCGACUGACGCUCAGGCACGAAAGUGUGGGUAUCGAACAGGAUUAGAUACCCCAGUACC
RNAcentral lists this ribosomal RNA (468 nucleotides) under uncultured bacterium. RNAcentral's name for it is "bacterial SSU rRNA". It matches the Rfam family "Bacterial small subunit ribosomal RNA", at positions 329 to 796 of the family's 1533-position model. The record is from RNAcentral.